UCCCGAUUGGCUCGGGCAGUCUUGUUUGAAAAAUACAACAAACAACAAGGGUUGCGCUCGUUGCGGGACUUAACCCAACAUCUCACGACACGAGCUGACGACGGCCAUGCAACACCUGUCACCGCGUUCCCGAAGGCACUCCCCUAUCUCUAGGGGAUUCGCGGGAUGUCAAGGGUCGGUAAGGUUCUUCGCGUAGCAUCGAAUUAAACCACAUGCUCCACUGCUUGUGCGGGUCCCCGUCAAUUCCUUUGAGUUUUAGCCUUGCGGCCGUACUCCCCAGGCGGGAUGCUUAACGCGUUAGCUUCGCAACGCAGAGGGUCGAUACUCCACACUACUAGCAUCCAUCGUUUACGGCGUGGACUAC
This 364-nucleotide unclassified non-coding RNA is filed under the name uncultured bacterium. RNAcentral's name for it is "contains 16S-23S intergenic spacer region". The record is from RNAcentral.